UCCAGGGUAGCCUAGUGGACAUGGCAUCUGCCCGGUAAGCGGAACACUGUGGGUUCGAUUCCCAUCCCUGGAA
This is a non-coding RNA of Cordylochernes scorpioides, 73 nucleotides long. The record is from the annotation of a GenBank genome assembly. Lineage: Eukaryota; Metazoa; Arthropoda; Arachnida; Pseudoscorpiones; Chernetidae.